This 396-nucleotide ribosomal RNA is filed under the name uncultured soil bacterium. RNAcentral's name for it is "bacterial SSU rRNA". It matches the Rfam family "Bacterial small subunit ribosomal RNA", at positions 26 to 413 of the family's 1533-position model. The record is from RNAcentral.
AGAUUGAACGCUGGCGGCAGGCCUAACACAUGCAAGUCGAGCGGCAGCACGGGUACUUGUACCUGGUGGCGAGCGGCGGACGGGUGAGUAAUGCCUAGGAAUCUGCCUGGUAGUGGGGGAUAACGCUCGGAAACGGACGCUAAUACCGCAUACGUCCUACGGGAGAAAGCAGGGGACCUUCGGGCCUUGCGCUAUCAGAUGAGCCUAGGUCGGAUUAGCUAGUUGGUGAGGUAAUGGCUCACCAAGGCGACGAUCCGUAACUGGUCUGAGAGGAUGAUCAGUCACACGUGGAACUGAGACACGGUCCAGUACUCCGUACGGGAGCAGCAGGUGGGAAUAGUUGGACAAGUGGGACGAAAGCCGUGACUCCAGCCAGUCGCCGCGUGUGUAGAAAGG